GGCAAAUCUGUCAUUUAGCUCAAAGGGCAAAUCGUCUUUGAGCUGCAAAAGAGAUAUUUUCCCAUCUUUUUCUCAAUGUUUCCAGAAGACUCAAUCCCACUUUCCUUUCACAAUCAAUCGUACAGCUUUUCUUCUUUCUUCCUCAAGCUCUCAAACACCACUCCAAUCUUGGAUCCAAACUGCAACAAGAACACUAACUUCUCAAGAAGAGCUCUGUUCCUUUUUGCUUCAAAUUUUACCUAAUAAAAAUUUACAAGCAUAAGAAUGCGAACAAGCAAAAAGAGUCGAGUGGUGAUAUAACUAUUGUAUACAUUAAAGCAGAAGAUGAAAUCUUUCACGAGAUUUAUGUAACUGGUAAUUUUGCAUAAUGCCCCAAAAACCAGCAAGACACUACAGACCAGUGAGAUGUCUUCCUCUAAGUUUCUCCCCAUUAGCUCGUUCAAUGGCACAGAUUGCAUCAAAUAAGAAGGUUACACACAAGGUUCAAAACUCCAGAUUUCCAGAAAAUAAUCUACCUAGCUCUUCAGGUGGAACUAUGGUAAAUCAUGGACAAAUAAACAAAAGUGAAGAUUCUCGUUCUUCGGAUGGUGAAGAAUUUUAUGUAAGAAAUCCCAUUACUCCUUGCUGGUAAAUGAUGAAGAUGAUGGUAUUUACUUUAUUGUCACUACUCUUAACUUGGGGAGAUAUGAGGUGAGAAGCUAAUACUUGGUGUGCUACAUCCAUGUCAUGCAAUAAUUUUGUCACCAUGUUAUCCGGCCUGUGAUGUCGAAUCUGGCAUUAGAGUCCAGAGAUGCUUCUGAGUUUUCAUUUUAUUUGUCCAGUACUAAAUGCUUAUAGUUGAUUGUUGCUACUGUCGUACUCCUUGAGUUCUCGCAUAUUCAAUGUUUUUCUGGCUAUGAUUGUCCAAAAAUAGGAUCUAGAGUGUAUGGUGGAUCUUAAAGAGCCCCUGCUUAAAGCAUGCUGCCAGAAGGAUGUGGUCUCUAAAUUGAGGUUAUUUCUCAGAGACCAAGCCAAGGAUGUUGAUCUCUUCGUCUCUCAACGAGUUGUGAAUCUUCCUCCUUAGGUUUUACCACACCUUUAUGAUGCACUUUUUGAUGAAGUCUCUUGUGCUACAGAUGAUGAGAAAAGAAGGAAUCCAAUUUCAGCUGGAAAAAUAGAGUAGAACAUUGUCUAAGAUUUUGGUAGCACUUGCUGAUGCUAAAGAGAAGCAAAUCACUAAUAGAGCUGUGAAGUUGUGGCUUGAAGAUCUUAGGGACUUGGUUUAUGACUUGGAUGAUUUUCUUGAUUACCUUUCCAUUGAAAUAUUGCGGCUCAAAAUGAUGACAGAAUUUAAUUCCAACAAAAGUGAGGUACAGAAAUUAUUGAUCCCUACUUGUUGUACCAGUUUGACACCUCGUACUGUGAAGUUCAAGCAUAGUUAUAGUCCAUGCUAUGGAGAUUAACUCUAGAUGGAAAGCAUGUGGUUUUUGCAAAAGUAAUCAAAGGAAUGGGAGUUGUCCGUUCGAUUGAACAUGUGACUACUGGUGAUAAUAAUUGCCUAACAGUAGACGUCAAUAUCGUGGAUUGUGGAGAAAUUCUUGAGGGGAAUAAUGAUGGUACUGCAGACUUUUUCAAAGACAGAUCUAUAUCCUGAUUGGCCUACUGAUCUUGAGAAUAAUACUGAUGAUCUCCCUUGGUGGAACACGGAACUAGAGUCUAUUAAGGCAUUUGGUAAUGAAAAUUUUAAGAAAUAAGAUUACAAGAUGGCUCUUAGGAACUAUCGAAAAUCUCUGCGCUAUUUGAAUAUCUGUUGGGAGAAAGAAGGGAUAGAUGAAGAUAGGAGUGCAUAUUUGGGAAGGAUGAAAUCACAUAAUUUUUCCAACAGCUCUAUCAUUUAUGGAUAGUGGAGAGACUAAACAGCCUUUAAGCCAUUAUUGAAAAAAUCCAAGGGGGCUGCCAGCUUCACUGCCCAGGUCAUCAUCGUGAACCAUCCUGGACAGAUUGGAAAUGGAUAUGCACCAGUUCUCGACUGUCACACUUCCCACAUUGCUGUUAAGUUUGCUGAGAUUUUGACCAAGAUCGACCGGCGCUCGGAUAAGGAACUCGAGAAGGAACCUAAGUUCUUGAAGAAUGGUAAUGCUGGCAUGGUUAAGAUGAUUCCUACCAAGCCAAUGGUAGUUGAAACCUUUGUUGAAUACCCACCAUUGGGUUGUUUUGCUGUGAGAGACAUGAGGCAAACAGUUGCUAUCGGUGUUGUCAAGAAUGUUGACAAGAAGGACCCAACUGGUGCCAAGGUCACCAAGCUGCCCAGAAGAAGGGAAAGUGAACAGUGCAGUGUAAUCCUAGAGUUUGCAAUGCUUUCAAUUGUCAUAAAGUGUGUUAUAUAGACUCUAUUUUGUUUAGUUCUGCUAUAUUUUUAUCUGUGAUUUGCUUUCUAGGUUCUUUACAAAAAAACUAUUACCAAGAUGUAUCUGAAAGUCUUUUUGUAAUAUUUUAUCUAUUUCAUACAUGUGCAUGAAAAUGUCAUAUUCCCACCA
Molecule: RNA transcript, 2516 nt
Organism: Capsicum annuum
Lineage: Eukaryota; Viridiplantae; Streptophyta; Magnoliopsida; Solanales; Solanaceae
Gene name: elongation factor 1-alpha
Exons: 10
Source: RefSeq, a predicted model, not a curated record